GCCAAAUAGCUAGCCUGAACACAACCGUAACCCCAAAAUAUAUAUAUAAAGAACCUAUAAUUUCACACUAAAACAUUCUACCCCCCUAGUAUAGGUGAUAGAAAAGGUCCCCAGAGCAAUAGAAAAAGUACCGCAAGGGAAAGCUGAAAAAGAAAUGAAACAACCCGAUAAAGCAAAAAAAAGCAGAGAUUAGACCUCGUACCUUUUGCAUCAUGAUCUAGCAAGAAAGCCCAAGCGAAGAGAACUUAAGUUUGACCCCCCGAAACCAGGAGAGCUACUUCGGAGCAGCCCAAUGGGGCAAACCCGUCUCUGUGGCAAAAGAGUGGGGAGACUCCCGAGUAGAAGUGACAAGCCUACCGAACCUGGUGAUAGCUGGUUGCUCAGAAAAUGAAUAUAAGUUCAGCGCCGUGAACUUCUAACCCUAUAUAAAAAGAGGAAAGCAAGACACAGCAGUUAGCCAAAAGGGGUACAGCCCUUUUGGAAAAGGACACAACCUUAUUUAGGGAGGGAAAGGAUCAAAACCCAAGGCAUCUUCCCCAGUGGGCCUAAAAGCAGCCACCUGUAAAGAUAGCGUUAAAGCUCAAGCAUACUUUAACCAAGAAUGUAAAAUAACUAAGCCACACCCCCCAAAAAAUACUGAGCCCCCCCAUGAGCAUAUGGAGAAGAUAAUGCUAGAACUAGUAAUAAGAGGAGCCACGCCCCUCUCCCCGCACGAUUGUGAGUCAGGCAGGACCAACCACUGAUAACUAACGGACCUAAUAGAAGGCAAAGCAAAGGAAAAAUAACAUACAAGAAUUCCAUGCCAAAACAACCGUCACCCCAACACAGGAGUGCGCCCGGGAAAGACUAAAAGGAAGAGAAGGAACUCGGCAAAGCAAAGUCCCGCCUGUUUACCAAAAACAUCGCCUCUUGCUAAUAAUGAAGUAUUAGAGGUCCCGCCUGCCCUGUGACAGCAGUGUUUAACGGCCGCGGUAUUCUAACCGCGCGAAGGUAGCGUAAUCACUUGUCUUUUAAAUGGAGACCUGUAUGAAUGGCAUAACGAGGACUUAACUGUCUCCUUUUCCUGGUCAAUGAAACUGAUCUGCCCGUGCAGAAGCGGGCAUGUUAACAUAAGACGAGAAGACCCUAUGGAGCUUUAGGCAAAUGAUCAUGUACACCAAACCCUCUCUUCAUUCAAAGCCUGGGGAAACAUAACGCUAAUGAUCAAUAUGCCUUCGGUUGGGGCGACCGUGGAGGAGAGAAAAGCCUCCAUGUAGAACGGGAAAACCCUUAAGCUAAGACAAACAAGUCUAAGUAUCAGAAAUUCUGACUAAAUGUGACCCAGGCCUAGCCUGAUCAACGAACCUAGUUACCCUAGGGAUAACAGCGCAAUCCCCUCCCAGAGUCCGUAUCGACGAGGGGGUUUACGACCUCGAUGUUGGAUCAGGACAUCCUAAUGGUGCAGCCGCUAUUAAGGGUUCGUUUGUUCAACGAUUAAUAGUCCUACGUGAUCUGAGUUCAGACCGGAGUAAUCCAGGUCGGUUUCUAUCUAUGAUCUAACCUACCCCUAGUACGAAAGGACCGGAGUAAGGGGGCCCACGAGAAAACAAGCCCCACCCCAACCCGCUGAAACCAUAUAAAGCAGAUAAUGGGGAAGACACAACUGCCAGAGAUAAUGGCAU
RNAcentral lists this ribosomal RNA (1661 nucleotides) under Gymnothorax kidako (Kidako moray). RNAcentral describes it as "16S rRNA". It matches the Rfam family "Bacterial large subunit ribosomal RNA". Lineage: Eukaryota; Metazoa; Chordata; Actinopteri; Anguilliformes; Muraenidae. The record is from RNAcentral.